GGAGGGGUGCCCGGGUGGUGUUAUUCCCGCCCCUGCAGCAGUGGGAGGAGCCUCAGGUCCCUCCUGCCUGCCUGAUUGCUGCUGGCUGUGCUGCGGGGCCUGCUCGCCACGCGGCCGGGCCUGCUCCCCGCGGUCAGGCCUAGCUCCGGGGAAUCCAUUGCCAUCCAGAGAAUCCAUGACCUCUGCGGGCUGAUUGUAGCUGCUGUUACGAAGCAUUCCAUUGCCUUACCUUGCACAAACUUUUGGAGUCUAAAUGCAUGCACAGAGGACAGUUGAAGACUUGGCAUCUUUUAGAUCUAGUAUGCUGUGACUGGCAGUUCCUCUGAAUGCAAAGGAACAGCUGUUUUCCCUGGUCAAGAAACCAAAAAGGCUACAUUCAAGGACUCUUUAUUCGUCUACAUGGCCUAAGGACAGACAGCACUUCUAAAAGGAAAAACCUACCACAGAAGUUCACAGGUUGGCUAUGCUGACAUUUCCUGAGGAAUCUCAUUUAGGAAGCUGAAGAUAAAGACAUCUUACGGCAGGUUUGAUUACUUGAAGUGUUUUUUUAAAAUUCUGAAUCGGAAUCAUCCAAAACAAAAAAGGUAGCCUAGUUACUUUUCCACCCAUGCCAUGCUCCAAAAGUACCAAGACAACUCCUAGAUCUCCUAGGUCCUUUACUUUCUAAUUUUAAAAUUUUCCUUCUUGAUUUUGAACCUAGUCCUUCAGUCUGAAGUACUCAAAUUCAUCUUCAACUACAAACAACAUGAAGAAGAACCCAACUUGUAUGAUUUCUGGUACAUUAGGCAAUCAUCUGUCCACUGAACCCCAUAGUGUUUCAAGCUUUUACCAACUUAUCAGCAACAGUUAAGACAUGGAACAGUGAAUUUGUUCAUCAAAAUGUACCUAAUGCCUCAGACAAAUGGACUUAGGGGUAGAGUGUCUGAAUGCCAAAUGAGACACUUUGCAUCUGUUCUGUCUGUUCAACAAGAAUGUAUAAUCUCUGAUGAGGUCCAAAGGGUUGGAAAUUCAGUUGUUGAAGUCCUAAGGUAUAAUACUAUGAACAUAGGAUCAACUUUGUAAAGAUACCAGUAUGCAGGGAAGUGUAAUUGAAGGUGGCAAGCAGCUUGAACUAUGGCCAGUACAUUACAGUAACUGAUGGUCAGAGCUCUUUCUUGCUAGUACUGAGAAUGCCACUUUGGAUAGACUUGCAGAACUGAUGUGACAAGUUUGCUCUCUUAAAUUUCAUCAGCAUUUCACAGAAUGGCAGUUUCCCUUAAUCCAACAUUUGUUUUCAGAUCAGCAAGUCUUAGGAACAAUUUUAUUCUGAGAAUUCCACUAGGUAAAUUAAGAUCAGACAGAACAGAGAUAGGUGGACAAGCUUAGCUGCUAACUCCUACACUUACCCCAUGACCUGAACAGACUUUUCCAUUAGAUCCAAUGGGACAGCUGCUUAUAUUCAAGGACUGAAUUGGCAGGCACUUUUUGUCCAGACACAUCAUUUGAGGUCCACAUGGAGCUCCA
Long non-coding RNA from Pogoniulus pusillus (Red-fronted tinkerbird), 1503 nucleotides. RefSeq lists it as uncharacterized. NCBI's taxonomy places the organism in Eukaryota, Metazoa, Chordata, Aves, Piciformes, Lybiidae. The record is from RefSeq and is a predicted model, not a curated record. The transcript has 5 exons.